This 219-nucleotide ribosomal RNA is filed under the name uncultured prokaryote. RNAcentral's name for it is "partial 16S ribosomal RNA". It matches the Rfam family "Bacterial small subunit ribosomal RNA", at positions 525 to 743 of the family's 1533-position model. The record is from RNAcentral.
ACAGAGGCUGCAAGCGUUGUUCGGAGUUAUUUGGCGUAAAGAGCAUGUCGGCGGCUAUGUAAGUCGGUUGUGAAAGCCUUCCGCUUAACGGAAGAAUGGCGGUCGAAACUGCAUGGCUUGAGUGCGGGAGGGGAGAGUGGAACUUCUGGUGGAGCGGUGAAAUGCGUAGAUAUCAGAAGGAACGUCGGCUGCGAAAGAGACUCUCUAGAUCGUAACUGA